AACGAACGCUGGCGGCAUGCCUAACACAUGCAAGUCGAACGAGACCUUCGGGUCUAGUGGCGCACGGGUGCGUAACGCGUGAGAAUCUGCCCUUGGGUUCGGAAUAACAGUUGGAAACGACUGCUAAUACCGGAUGAUGACGUAAGUCCAAAGAUUUAUCGCCCAAGGAUGAGCCCGCGUAGGAUUAGCUAGUUGGUGAGGUAAAGGCUCACCAAGGCGACGAUCCUUAGCUGGUCUGAGAGGAUGAUCAGCCACACUGGGACUGAGACACGGCCCAGACUCCUACGGGAGGCAGCAGUGGGGAAUAUUGGACAAUGGGCGAAAGCCUGAUCCAGCAAUGCCGCGUGAGUGAUGAAGGCCUUAGGGUUGUAAAGCUCUUUUACCCGGGAUGAUAAUGACAGUACCGGGAGAAUAAGCUCCGGCUAACUCCGUG
RNAcentral lists this ribosomal RNA (433 nucleotides) under uncultured bacterium. Its description in RNAcentral is "partial 16S ribosomal RNA". It matches the Rfam family "Bacterial small subunit ribosomal RNA", at positions 29 to 507 of the family's 1533-position model. The record is from RNAcentral.